Molecule: ribosomal RNA, 459 nt
Filed under: uncultured bacterium
Lineage: Bacteria
Description: bacterial SSU rRNA
Rfam family: Bacterial small subunit ribosomal RNA
Source: RNAcentral
AACGAACGCUGGCGGCAUGCCUAACACAUGCAAGUCGAACGAGACCUUCGGGUCUAGUGGCGCACGGGUGCGUAACGCGUGGGAAUCUGCCCCUUGGUUCGGAAUAACAGUUAGAAAUGACUGCUAAUACCGGAUGAUGACGAAAGUCCAAAGAUUUAUCGCCGAGGGAUGAGCCCGCGUAGGAUUAGCUAGUUGGUGAGGUAAAGGCUCACCAAGGCGACGAUCCUUAGCUGGUCUGAGAGGAUGAUCAGCCACACUGGGACUGAGACACGGCCCAGACUCCUACGGGAGGCAGCAGUGGGGAAUAUUGGACAAUGGGCGAAAGCCUGAUCCAGCAAUGCCGCGUGAGUGAUGAAGGCCUUAGGGUCGUAAAGCUCUUUUACCAGGGAUGAUAAUGACAGUACCUGGAGAAUAAGCUCCGGCUAACUCCGUGCCAGCAGCCGCGGUAAACGUAGCGUG